Sorghum bicolor (sorghum) is the source of this 109-nucleotide microRNA precursor. It matches the Rfam family "MIR5565 microRNA precursor family". Lineage: Eukaryota; Viridiplantae; Streptophyta; Magnoliopsida; Poales; Poaceae. The record is from Rfam.
GUAGUCGGAUUCACAUCAAUCCACAUGUGUUGAGGUGGAUUGGAGUGGAACUUAAACUAAAUUUCACCCCAAUCCACAUCAACACAUAUGGAUUGAAGUGAAUACGACA